RNAcentral lists this ribosomal RNA (245 nucleotides) under uncultured bacterium. RNAcentral's name for it is "partial 16S ribosomal RNA". It matches the Rfam family "Bacterial small subunit ribosomal RNA", at positions 528 to 772 of the family's 1533-position model. The record is from RNAcentral.
UAGGGGGCGAGCGUUAUCCGGAUUCACUGGGCGUAAAGGGAGCGCAGGCGGCACGGCAAGUCCGGUGUGAAAGCCCGGGGCCCAACCCCGGGACUGCACUGGAAACUGCCGGGCUGGAGUGUCGGAGGGGCAGGCGGAAUUCCUAGUGUAGCGGUGAAAUGCGUAGAUAUUAGGAGGAACACCGGUGGCGAAGGCGGCCUGCUGGACGACGACUGACGCUGAGGCUCGAAAGCGUGGGGAGCAAA